GCCUCUGUGGUCUAGUGGUAUCACACGUCCCCGGUAUGGAUGAAAUGCGGGCUCAACUCCCGUCUGAGGUC
Molecule: non-coding RNA, 71 nt
Organism: Parelaphostrongylus tenuis
Lineage: Eukaryota; Metazoa; Nematoda; Chromadorea; Rhabditida; Metastrongylidae
Source: the annotation of a GenBank genome assembly